Molecule: non-coding RNA, 125 nt
Organism: Triticum aestivum (bread wheat)
Lineage: Eukaryota; Viridiplantae; Streptophyta; Magnoliopsida; Poales; Poaceae
Source: Rfam
CAUAUGCUCCCUCCUUCUGGAAAUACUUGUCAGAGAAAUGAAUAAAAAUGGAUGUAUCUAGAACUAAAAUACGUCUAGAUACAUCUAUUUCUCCGACAAGUAUUUCCGGACGGAGGAAGUACAAU